Molecule: long non-coding RNA, 259 nt
Filed under: Mytilus galloprovincialis (Mediterranean mussel)
Lineage: Eukaryota; Metazoa; Mollusca; Bivalvia; Mytilida; Mytilidae
Source: RNAcentral
GGCUGUAGCAGAAAAAGAAGUGCACCACGAUAUGAUUUUUUCUUCACCAAUGAUUUUAUUACAGUCUUAUAAACUCAAAAAGCAGGUUCUCAAAAAAAAUGUUUAAUUCCAGAAAUUGUUGGCUCCUCAGAGGUGUACAUCCUUAAACAUAGAUAUUACAUUACGCCUCAUAGAAAAGUUAAGCUAAUUCAUUUCUUGAGACCUAAAGGCGAAAUAUGAAUAAGAAUCAACUGUACAUAUAUUCUACGUAAUAUAACGG